UAACAUCCUUAAAUUAAUUGAUUUCUUGUUGCAUUUCGGCUGGCCCUUUUUAAUUAGUUGUUUUUUGAUAGACUUGGUUAUCACUGACCUAUGUCGUAUGUUUUGCUCCCUGUUGUCAACUUUUGACCUACUGUGAUUCAGUGUUUUGAUUGCCAUACCUGACUUGAGAAUGAGGCUCAGAUGUAGAAUCUAUGUACUCAAACAAAACAAAACAAGCUUUAUUUGCAUUCAAUUGAUUCCACUUGUGCAAAGUAAAAACUUUUUUUUUUCUAAUUUUAUAUGUUUUUUGAAAAGAGACACUUUUUAUUAAAAAGCAUUGACAAAAUUAUAACAAAAUAAUCUUGGGAUUUAAAAAAAAAAAAUAUUUCUGUGUCAUGGCUUAAGUAAUAAUUAAAAUAAAUACUUUUAACCAUAAUGUCAUUAAGAUUA
Molecule: non-coding RNA, 429 nt
Organism: Biomphalaria pfeifferi
Lineage: Eukaryota; Metazoa; Mollusca; Gastropoda; Planorbidae
Source: the annotation of a GenBank genome assembly